CCUACGGGGGGCUGCAGUGAGGAAUAUUGGUCAAUGGGAGAGAUCCUGAACCAGCCAAGCCGCGUGAGGGAAGACGGCCCUAUGGGUUGUAAACCUCUUUUGUCGGAGAACAAAACCCGGGACGAGUCCCGGACUGCGUGUAUCCGAAGAAAAAGCAUCGGCUAACUCCGUGCCAGCAGCCGCGGUACUACGGAGGAUGCGAGCGUUCUCCGGAUUUAUUGGGUUUAAAGGGUGCGUAGGCGGUCUGUUAAGUCAGCGGGAAAAUUGCGGGGCUCAACCCCGUCGAGCCGUUGAAACUGGCAGACUUGAGUUGGCGAGAGGUACGCGGAAUGCGCGGUGUAGCGGUGAAAUGCAUAGAUAUCGCGCAGAACUCCGAUUGCGAAGGCAGCGUACCGGCGCCAGACUGACGCUGAGGCACGAAAGCAUGGGGAUCGAACAGGAUUAGAUACCCCAGUAGUC
Molecule: ribosomal RNA, 459 nt
Filed under: uncultured bacterium
Lineage: Bacteria
Description: partial 16S ribosomal RNA
Rfam family: Bacterial small subunit ribosomal RNA
Source: RNAcentral